RNAcentral lists this ribosomal RNA (554 nucleotides) under uncultured archaeon. RNAcentral describes it as "bacterial SSU rRNA". It matches the Rfam family "Archaeal small subunit ribosomal RNA", at positions 326 to 879 of the family's 1478-position model. The record is from RNAcentral.
CGGGGUGCAGCAGGCGCGAAAACUCUCCAAUGCGCGAAAGCGUGAGAGGGGGAUACACAGUGCUUAUGCUUUUGGUGUAGGCUUUUGUCGAGUGUAGAUAGCUCGGCGAAUAAGUGGUGGGUAAGACUGGUGCCAGCCGCCGCGGUAACACCAGCGCCACAAGUGGUCAUCGCGUUUAUUGGGCCUAAAGCGUUCGUCGCCGGCUUGGUAAAUCUCUUGUGAAAUUGUUCGGCUUAACCGAACAGCGUGCAGGGGACACUGCCAGGCUCGAGACCGGGAGGGGUCAGAGGUAUUCCAUAGGGACCGGUAAAAUGGGAUAAUCUAUGGAGGACCACCGAUGGCGAAGGCAUCUGACCAGAACGGAUCUGACGGUGAGGAACGAAAGCCAGGGGAGCGAACCGGAUUAGAUACCCGAGUAGUCCUGGCCGUAAACGCUGUGAGCUAGGUGUCGCGCAUCUCACGUAGAUGCGCGGUGUCGAAACGAAGGUGCUAAGCUCACCGCCUGGGAAGUACGGUCGCAAGACUGAAACUUUAAGGAAUUGGCGGGGGAGCAC